UACAGAGGUCUCAAGCGUUGUUCGGAUUCAUUGGGCGUAAAGGGUGCGUAGGUGGUUUGUUAAGUUGAAGGUGAAAUCUCGGAGCUCAACUCCGAAACUGCCUUCAAUACUGGCGAACUCGAGGACUGUAGAGGAGAAUGGAAUUCACGGUGUAGCAGUGAAAUGCGUAGAUAUCGUGAGGAAGACCAGUGGCGAAGGCGAUUCUCUGGGCAGCUCCUGACACUGAGGCACGAAGGCCAGGGGAGCAAACGGG
Molecule: ribosomal RNA, 253 nt
Filed under: uncultured bacterium
Lineage: Bacteria
Description: partial 16S ribosomal RNA
Rfam family: Bacterial small subunit ribosomal RNA
Source: RNAcentral